This 104-nucleotide small nucleolar RNA is filed under the name Dichanthelium oligosanthes. RNAcentral describes it as "Plant small nucleolar RNA R71". It matches the Rfam family "Plant small nucleolar RNA R71". Rfam says of the family: R71 is a member of the C/D box family of snoRNAs containing the C (UGAUGA) and D (CUGA) box motifs. Multiple nearly identical copies of this snoRNA have been identified in Arabidopsis, and it is thought to function as a 2'-O-ribose methylation guide for 18S ribosomal RNA. The record is from Rfam by way of RNAcentral. Lineage: Eukaryota; Viridiplantae; Streptophyta; Magnoliopsida; Poales; Poaceae.
AUCCCAUGAUGUGGAUAUUGUGCUAACAAAUCCUCAAAUCGUUUCCAUGCUUCACCAGUUGAUUCAUUAGGAUAUUGCUUGAACCCUAUGAUCUUCUUGUGCAA